This 327-nucleotide unclassified non-coding RNA is filed under the name soil metagenome. RNAcentral's name for it is "partial contains 5.8S ribosomal RNA, internal transcribed spacer 2, and large subunit ribosomal RNA". The stretch from base 1 to 120 matches the Rfam family "5.8S ribosomal RNA", at positions 35 to 154 of the family's 154-position model. The record is from RNAcentral.
GAUGAAGAACGCAGCGAAAUGCGAUAAGUAAUGUGAAUUGCAGAAUUCAGUGAAUCAUCGAAUCUUUGAACGCACAUUGCGCCCCCUGGUAUUCCGGGGGGCAUGCCUGUUCGAGCGUCAUUUCAACCCUCAAGCUCUGCUUGGUAUUGAGUCCAUGUCAGCAAUGGCAGGCUCCAAAAUCAGUGGCGGCGCCGCUGGGUCCUGAACGUAGUAAUAUCUCUCGUUACAGGUGCUCGGCGUGCUUCUGCCAAAACCCCAAUUUUUCUAUGGUUGACCUCGGAUCAGGUAGGGAUACCCGCUGAACUUAAGCAUAUCAAUAACGGAGGA